This 164-nucleotide small nuclear RNA is filed under the name Echinops telfairi (small Madagascar hedgehog). RNAcentral's name for it is "U1 spliceosomal RNA (ENSETEG00000021459.1)". It matches the Rfam family "U1 spliceosomal RNA". From Rfam's summary of the family: U1 is a small nuclear RNA (snRNA) component of the spliceosome (involved in pre-mRNA splicing). Its 5' end forms complementary base pairs with the 5' splice junction, thus defining the 5' donor site of an intron. The record is from RNAcentral. Lineage: Eukaryota; Metazoa; Chordata; Mammalia; Afrosoricida; Tenrecidae.
AUACUUACCUGGCAGGAGAGACACCAUGAGCACGAAGGUGGGUUUCCCAGAGCCAGCCUUAUCCAUUGCACUCCGGAUGUGCUGACCCCUGCGAUUUCCCCAAAUGUGGGAAACUCGACCGCCUAAUUUGUGGUAGUGGAGGACUGCGUUCACGCUCUCCCCUG